ACAACUGCUGACGGCACGCACUAAAAGGCCGUUCUGGCCCAUAUACCAAGCCAAGAUAGCGAGCGCUAUCUUUGGCAGGUACUACCUGGCCUGAUAGCCGUAACUGUUGACAUCUCCCGCUAAGUUCCGACUGCUGGGUGCCGUCACAUGCAAAAACAAGCCUUUCACACUUUGAGACAUUUGGUCGCAUCCCAAAAGCUUCACAAAACAAGUCCACAAGAUGUAGCAACUCAGACAUUCGCUCUACUGAC
This 251-nucleotide long non-coding RNA is filed under the name Volvox carteri. RNAcentral's name for it is "long non-coding RNA (VCAR_LNC002201)". The record is from RNAcentral. Lineage: Eukaryota; Viridiplantae; Chlorophyta; Chlorophyceae; Chlamydomonadales; Volvocaceae.